CUUCUCUUCCUCCUUUUUCUCUUUGCCCAGUAGUCGGUAGUUAAGUCCCAUCCCGAGGAACAGGAACACGCUGGCAACAAUAAGGACGAUGCCACAGCCCUGCACACAUGCUACGAUUGAGUGCUAUGCCUGUAGUUUGGAAAGCACGGGUUAUUUCUCAAAUUCAAAGGGGUAAAUGCUCUCCGAGAAGCUCGGCCGCUAAAGCCACGCUCAGCAGGAUCCAGGAGGACGCCCAUCUUGAACCACCUGCUCCCCCGCCGCCCGAGGUUGUGCGGCCUGUGGCAAGAGGAGGAGCAGAUGUUUCCUCACAAUGGCCCGUCUCUAGAAGCUGCAAGCGCAGGAAACUCUCGCUCCCUCUCACUUUCAAACACACACACACAUACACACUUGCACACACGUGCACACGCACGAGUGUGCACACACACGCGUGCAACGCGCAGUUCUUUCAAAAUCUGUUCUCAUUUGUUCACAAAUCUUCCAUUUUUUGGGGGGUUGAAACUUGUUGUUCAUAUUUUGUCCCUCAGAAUAAAAUUAUAAUUUUUUUUUUAAAUCAAACCUUAAUAAACUAG
Lampris incognitus (smalleye Pacific opah) is the source of this 569-nucleotide long non-coding RNA. RefSeq lists it as uncharacterized. The record is from RefSeq and is a predicted model, not a curated record. The transcript is spliced from 3 exons. NCBI's taxonomy places the organism in Eukaryota, Metazoa, Chordata, Actinopteri, Lampriformes, Lampridae.